Molecule: ribosomal RNA, 465 nt
Filed under: uncultured bacterium
Lineage: Bacteria
Description: partial 16S ribosomal RNA
Rfam family: Bacterial small subunit ribosomal RNA
Source: RNAcentral
GACGAACGCUGGCGGCGUGCUUAACACAUGCAAGUCGAACGGAAAGGCCCUGCUUGCAGGGUACUCGAGUGGCGAACGGGUGAGUAACACGUGGGUGAUCUGCCCUGCACUUCGGGAUAAGCCUGGGAAACUGGGUCUAAUACCGGAUAGGAGCCAUUUUUAGUGUGAUGGUUGGAAAGUUUUUUCGGUGUAGGAUGAGCUCGCGGCCUAUCAGCUUGUUGGUGGGGUAAUGGCCUACCAAGGCGGCGACGGGUAGCCGGCCUGUGAGGGUGGACGGCCACAUUGGGUCUGAGGGGCGGCCCAGACUCCUACGGGAGGCAGCAGUGGGGAAUAUUGCACAAGGGGCGCAAGCCUGAUGCAGCGACGCCGCGGGGGGGAUGACGGCCUUCGGGUUGAAAACUCCUUUCGCUAGGGACGAAGCUUUUUGUGACGGUACCUAGAGAAGAAGCACCGGCUAACUACGUG